GAACUUCCAGAAACUUUUUGUGGUGGCUGGGUUGGCUAUUUUUCUUAUGAUACAGUACGAUAUGUGGAGAAGAAAAAGCUUCCGUUUUCAAGCGCUCCUAAGGAUGACAGAAAUCUGGCGGACAUACACCUUGGCCUAUAUGAUGAUGUGAUUGUAUUUGAUCAUGUGGAGAAGAAAGUCCAUGUGAUCCACUGGGUGAGGAUGGAGAGACAUUCCUCUGUGGAAGAUGCUUACUCUGAUGGAAUCAAGCGAUUAGAAAAAUUGUUGGCCAGAUUGCAGGAUAUUGACCACCCAAGGCUAUCUGCAGGAGUUGUAAACUUACAAACUCGCCAUUUUGGCCCCUCAUUGACAAAUUCCAACAUGGCAUGCGAAGAGUAUAAGGGGGCAGUAUUAAAGGCCAAAGAGCACAUUCUGGCUGGAGAUAUAUUCCAGAUAGUAUUAAGUCAGCGUUUUGAACGCCGAACAUUUGCUGACCCAUUUGAAGUCUAUAGGGCACUGAGAGUUGUGAAUCCCAGUCCUUACAUGACUUACUUGCAAGCCAGAGGGUGUAUUCUAGUUGCCUCAAGUCCAGAAAUUCUUACACGUGUAAAGAAGAAUAAGAUAGUUAAUCGGCCGUUAGCUGGAACUAUCAGAAGAGGGAAAACAACUGAAGAAGAUGAGAUGUUGGAGGGGCGUCUACUAAAUGAUCCAAAGCAGUGUGCAGAGCAUAUCAUGCUGGUUGAUCUGGGCAGAAAUGAUGUUGGAAAGGUCAUAAAACUAAUUAUUGUGGAUGUUACUCUGCAUUUCUCAGAGCUCAUAUAUUCAUGUUAUAUUGUGCUUCUGUCAAUUUUAGCUGGAUAAUUUAAUACACUUCUUUUUUGUUCUUUCUUGGUCUGCGUUGUAUGUUCUUUCAUUUUUUUGUUUCAAAGGCUUAUACUGCUCGGUCAAUCACUAGUGUGAAUUAGGAAAUUUCUUUUAUCAACUUUCAUUAUUUAACAAUUUUCUGUAUGCUGAAAGUAGCUGGUUGUCAUUUUCCUUGCUUUCCAUUUUUAAAUGAAUUGAUAUCAAAAUUUCUUUGUUUUUCAUUGUCUAAGGAAUUGAUAUCGAGAUAAUCAGAAUUCCAGUUUCAUUAAUGUCCAUAGAAUCAUAUGCCUUCUUUUGCUUGUCUGUAGAAAUCGACAAAGAGGAUGAUAUUUUCUUGUCUGUACAAUGAUGCGUUACUAGGGAUGUAUCUGCUAUUGUGUUCUUUAACUGAUAAUAAUGCGGAUUUUAAUUCUUCUCUCUGUUAUCCUGUUCUCUUAUUUGUUCUGAGCUUAAUUCCUUAUCUUUUUCCCUGACAGAAAAUAUUAUAGUGCAGAAUUAUUUUUUUGUUUCUUCCCUUUUAUUUGUGGGAAGUAUUGUAGUAUUUGCUGUGGCAUUAGUGUCCAAAUAAAAAAAUUUUUAUUAAACUUUUAAGCACCAUUUAGCAGACAUAUUAAUCUAGAUGAUGCAGUAAAAUUAUGCACCAGGCAAUCUUUUUCGUUAUUUUUUUCUGUGCAGGUCUCAAAAUAUGGUUCUGUGAUGGUGGAAAAACUCAUGAAUGUUGAAAGAUAUUCCCAUGUCAUGCAUAUAAGCUCCACGGUUACCGGAGAAUUACAGGAUAAUCUCUCUUGCUGGGAUGCUUUGCGUGCUGCUUUGCCUGUUGGAACUGUUAGUGGAGCACCAAAGGUGAAGGCAAUGGAAUUAAUAGACCGGUAUGAGGUUAACAGGCGAGGCCCAUACAGUGGAGGAUUUGGUGGCGUGUCCUUCCUAGGCGAUAUGGACAUUGCCUUGGGACUUAGGACAAUGGUGUUCCCGACGGGAGCACGAUAUGACACGAUGUACCGGUACAAAAAUGCUGAUAGUCGGCGUGAAUGGGUGGCAUACCUUCAAGCUGGUGCAGGUAUAGUUGCGGAUAGUGAUCCUGAUGAAGAGCACCGUGAGUGCCAAAACAAAGCUGCCGGUCUUGCACGUGCCAUUGACUUGGCUGAGUCUGCUUUUAUUGAGAAAUGAGAAGCCUGUUCCCUGAAUCCUCAUACAUAUUUUCCAAGCGGCUCUACCUUUGCUGUGUAGCAACAUGCUUGGUGGGUAAGCCAGCUGUGCUUGAGAAGGAAAAGCACAUAGAAAGGGAAAGAAUUUUGCCCAGCGAAUGUCAACCUUAUGUCCUUUACACAGGACUUAAGAAACAAGUUCACUAAAAAAUACAGUUGGUAUUUCUUCGGGUAUUUGAAGUUACAGAUGUUGAGUUUUCUAACUUCUAAGAAGGUGGAUAUUAGAGAUAUACUGAUCAACUAAGAUAACCUUUGUAGUCUUCUUUUGUAAUUUUACCCCCGGCAAUAGUAUGAUAUGACAUUUUUUUUCUUAGUAUAGCACAAGGAAAAUUUUUU
RNAcentral lists this unclassified non-coding RNA (2384 nucleotides) under Hevea brasiliensis (rubber tree). Lineage: Eukaryota; Viridiplantae; Streptophyta; Magnoliopsida; Malpighiales; Euphorbiaceae. The record is from RNAcentral.